CUUAUCCAGAGAGGUGGAGGGAUUUGGCCCUAUGAAACCUCGGCAACAGACUUUUUUAGAGAACUGUGCCAAUUCCAACAAGCUUUUUGCUUGAAAGAUAAGA
Molecule: non-coding RNA, 103 nt
Filed under: Robertmurraya massiliosenegalensis
Lineage: Bacteria; Bacillati; Bacillota; Bacilli; Caryophanales; Bacillaceae
Description: SAM riboswitch (S box leader)
Rfam family: SAM riboswitch aptamer (S box leader)
About the family: The SAM riboswitch is found upstream of a number of genes which code for proteins involved in methionine or cysteine biosynthesis in Gram-positive bacteria. The SAM riboswitch acts at the level of transcription termination control. The predicted structure consists of a complex stem-loop region followed by a single stem loop terminator region.
Source: RNAcentral